AGGGUUUGAUCAUGGCUCAGAACGAACGCUGGCGGCAGGCUUAACACAUGCAAGUCGAACGCACUCUUCGGAGUGAGUGGCAGACGGGUGAGUAACGCGUGGGAACCUACCCUUUUCUACGGAAUAACGCAGGGAAACUUGUGCUAAUACCGUAUACGCCCUUCGGGGGAAAAAUUUAUCGGGGAAGGAUGGGCCCGCGUUGGAUUAGCUAGUUGGUGGGGUAAUGGCCUACCAAGGCGACGAUCCAUAGCUGGUCUGAGAGGAUGAUCAGCCACAUUGGGACUGAGACACGGCCCAAACUCCUACGGGAGGCAGCAGUGGGGAAUAUUGGACAAUGGGCGCAAGCCUGAUCCAGCCAUGCCGCGUGAGUGAUGAAGGCCCUAGGGUUGUAAAGCUCUUUCAACGGUGAAGAUAAUGACGGUAACCGUAGAAGAAGCCCCGGCUAACUUCGUGCCAGCAGCCGCGGUAAUACGAAGGGGGCUAGCGUUGUUCGGAAUUACUGGGCGUAAAGCGCACGUAGGCGGAUAUUUAAGUCAGGGGUGAAAUCCCAGAGCUCAACUCUGGAACUGCCUUUGAUACUGGGUAUCUUGAGUAUGGAAGAGGUGAGUGGAAUUCCGAGUGUAGAGGUGAAAUUCGUAGAUAUUCGGAGGAACACCAGUGGCGAAGGCGGCUCACUGGUCCAUUACUGACGCUGAGGUGCGAAAGCGUGGGGAGCAAACAGGAUUAGAUACCCUGAUAGUCCACGCCGUAAACGAUGAAUGUUAGCCGUCGGGCAGUAUACUGUUCGGUGGCGCAGCUAACGCAUUAAACAUUCCGCCUGGGGAGUACGGUCGCAAGAUUAAAACUCAUAGGAAUUGACGGGGGCCCGCACAAGCGGUGGAGCAUGUGGUUUAAUUCGAAGCAACGCGCAGAAUCU
RNAcentral lists this ribosomal RNA (916 nucleotides) under uncultured Alphaproteobacteria bacterium. Its description in RNAcentral is "bacterial SSU rRNA". It matches the Rfam family "Bacterial small subunit ribosomal RNA", at positions 8 to 971 of the family's 1533-position model. The record is from RNAcentral. Lineage: Bacteria; Pseudomonadati; Pseudomonadota; Alphaproteobacteria.